Molecule: ribosomal RNA, 113 nt
Filed under: uncultured eukaryote
Lineage: Eukaryota
Description: partial 18S ribosomal RNA
Rfam family: Eukaryotic small subunit ribosomal RNA
Source: RNAcentral
UCGUGGAGUAAUCUGUCAGGUCAAUUCCAUUAACGAACCAGACCUCAGCCUCUAGUUACUACAAGUCUAGAGGGACUCUGUGUCCAAGCACAUGGAAGCAUGAGGCCAUAACA